This 67-nucleotide transfer RNA is filed under the name Pseudomyrmex peperi. Its description in RNAcentral is "tRNA-Ala". Lineage: Eukaryota; Metazoa; Arthropoda; Insecta; Hymenoptera; Formicidae. The record is from RNAcentral.
UAGGUAUUAGUUAAAAAUUAAUAACUUUUAAAUUGCAAUUAAAAAUUGAUCUAACUUAAUCAUACCU